Molecule: transfer RNA, 73 nt
Filed under: Breznakia blatticola
Lineage: Bacteria; Bacillati; Bacillota; Erysipelotrichia; Erysipelotrichales; Erysipelotrichaceae
Also listed under: 2 other names
Description: tRNA-Lys
Rfam family: tRNA
About the family: Transfer RNA (tRNA) molecules are approximately 80 nucleotides in length. Their secondary structure includes four short double-helical elements and three loops (D, anti-codon, and T loops).
Source: RNAcentral
GUCUCCGUAGCUCAGUUGGUAGAGCAAUUGACUCUUAAUCAAUGGGUCUAGGGUUCGAAUCCCUACGGGGACA